UACGGAGACUGCGAGCGUUACUCGGAUUUACUGGGCGUAAAGGGUCCGUAGGCGGCCUUGUGUAUCGGGUGUGAAAUCCUACAGCUUAACUGUAGAACUGCGCCCGAAACUACAUGGCUAGAGUAUUGGAGAGGUGAGUGGAAUUCCAGGUGUAGCGGUGAAAUGCGUAGAUAUCUGGAGGAACACCAACGGCGAAGGCAGCUCACUGGACAAUUACUGACGCUGAGGGACGAAAGCGUGGGGAGCAAAAGGGAUUAGAUACCCCUGUAGUCCACGCCGUAAACGUUGUGCACUCGCUAUUGGCGGUUUCGACCCCGUCAGUGGCUAAGCUAACGCGAUAAGUGCACCGCCUGAGGACUACGGCCGCAAGGCUAAAACUCAAAGGAAUUGACGGGUCCCCGCACAAGCGGUGGAGCAUGUGGCUUAAUUCGAUGCAACGCGAAGAACCUUACCAGGCCUUGACAUGUAGUGGACCGGGGCAGAGAUGCCCCUUCUCUUCGGGGCCGCUUCACAGGUGCUGCAUGGCUGUCGUCAGCUCGUGUCGUGAGAUGUUCGGUUAAGUCCGUCAACGAGCGCAACCCCUGUCCUUAGUUGCCAUCAUUCAGUUGGGGACUCUAAGGAGACAAUCCUGCUUUUGCAGGAGGGAAGGUGGGGAUGAUGUCAAGUCAGUAUGGCCCUUACGGCCUGGGCUGCACACGUGCUACAAUGCCCGGUACAGUGGGAUGCCACUUCGCGAGAAGGCGCUAAUCCUCAAAGCCGGGCCCAGUUCGGAUUGGAGUCUGCAACUCGACUCCAUGAAGCCGGAAUCGCUAGUAAUGGCGUAUCAGCAACGACGCCGUGAAUACGUUCCCGGGGAU
RNAcentral lists this ribosomal RNA (857 nucleotides) under uncultured bacterium. RNAcentral describes it as "SSU rRNA". It matches the Rfam family "Bacterial small subunit ribosomal RNA", at positions 524 to 1381 of the family's 1533-position model. The record is from RNAcentral.